GACGGGGGCCCGCACAAGCGGAGGAACAUGUGGUUUAAUUCGAUGAUACGCGAGGAACCUUACCCGGGCUUGAACUGCAGGAGAACGAUUCAGAGAUGAUGAGGUCCUUCGGGACUCCUGUGGAGGUGCUGCAUGGUUGUCGUCAGCUCGUGCCGUGAGGUGUCGGCUUAAGUGCCAUAACGAGCGCAACCCCUUUCGUUAGUUGCCAUCAGGUGAUGCUGGGCACUCUGGCGAUACUGCCACCGUAAGGUGUGAGGAAGGUGGGGAUGACGUCAAAUCAGCACGGCCCUUACGUCCGGGGCUACACACGUGUUACAAUGGGUGGUACAGAGAGCUGGUCGUCUGCAAAUGCGAUCAAAUCCUAAAAGCCAUCCUCAGUUCGGAUUGGGGUCUGCAACCCGACCCCAUGAAGCUGGAUUCGCUAGUAAUCGCGCAUCAGCCAUGGCGCGGUGAAUACGUUCCCGGGCCUUGUACACACCGCCCGUCAAGCCAUGAAAGCCGGGGGCGCUUGAAGUCCGUGACCGCAAGGAUCGGCCUAGAGCGAAACUGGUAAUUGGGGCUAAGUCGUAACAAGGUAG
This 578-nucleotide ribosomal RNA is filed under the name uncultured bacterium. Its description in RNAcentral is "bacterial SSU rRNA". It matches the Rfam family "Bacterial small subunit ribosomal RNA", at positions 912 to 1499 of the family's 1533-position model. The record is from RNAcentral.